ACUCCUCCACUCGUCUACUUUUGUAGUCAAGCUGGGACUUGGGGGUUUUUGUGGGUGGUAUUCUCCUCCCACUCCCCUUGAAUACAUUAGUGAAGGACCCAUAUGGUUGGGGCCCCUCGGUGUGAUAAUAGACCAUCUACAUCGUAGGGCCUAACCUUUCAACGGGACUUUUGCUUCCAACCGUCCUCGGACAACUUUGUUUUUCGA
This 207-nucleotide unclassified non-coding RNA is filed under the name uncultured Agaricomycetes. RNAcentral's name for it is "sequence contains ITS2". Lineage: Eukaryota; Fungi; Basidiomycota; Agaricomycetes. The record is from RNAcentral.